This 468-nucleotide ribosomal RNA is filed under the name uncultured bacterium. RNAcentral describes it as "partial 16S ribosomal RNA". It matches the Rfam family "Bacterial small subunit ribosomal RNA", at positions 28 to 507 of the family's 1533-position model. The record is from RNAcentral.
GACGAACGCUGGCGGCGUGCUUAACACAUGCAAGUCGAGCGGAAAGGCCCUGCUUUUGUGGGGUGCUCGAGUGGCGAACGGGUGAGUAAAACGUGAGUAACCUGCCCUUGACUUUGGGAUAACUUCAGGAAACUGGGGCUAAUACCGGAUAGGAGCUCCUGCUGCAUGGUGGGGGUUGGAAAGUUUCGGCGGUUGGGGAUGGACUCGCGGCUUAUCAGCUUGUUGGUGGGGUAGUGGCUUACCCAGGCUUUGACGGGUAGCCGGCCUGAGAGGGUGACCGGCCACAUUGGGACUGAGAUACGGCCCAGACGCCUACGGGAGGCAACAGUGGGAAAUUUGGCACAGUGAGCGGAAGCCUGAGACAGCAGCGCCGCGUUCGGGAAGACGGCCUUCGGGGUAUAAACCGCUGUCGCCUGAGACGAAGCGGGAGUGACGGUAAUGAGUAAAGAAGCACCGGCUAACUACGUG